Schizosaccharomyces pombe (fission yeast) is the source of this 1699-nucleotide non-coding RNA. NCBI's taxonomy places the organism in Eukaryota, Fungi, Ascomycota, Schizosaccharomycetes, Schizosaccharomycetales, Schizosaccharomycetaceae. The record is from the annotation of a GenBank genome assembly.
CGCACUUCCUUUUCGACUCGUUUCUUUAACGUAGCAUGAAGAAUCCUCACAUUCGACAUGACUGAUAAAAGCUGAUGAUACUGUUUUUGCUCCUUAAAAUCUAUCCGUAGAAAAAUAAUGCGCUUUGAGUAAGAAAACUAUACAGAAGCUGCAUCUAAAAAACCCGAAUAUCUUAAUUGACUAUUGUAAAAGUGUUAGUUUACAGAUUUUUGGUAACGAGAUAAGCAACGGAGCAUGCAUAUGAUUACCUAAGUAUAACUUGUACACAAUGAUUUGGUGGUUUGUAAAAAUGAAUCCUUAAAGAAUGCUACAAAGAAGUAACUCAAAAUUCCAACCAUACUAUGCUAAUAGAAACGUGAGGCAGAAAUAGAAAUAAUGGGAUUAUUGGGAUAGUUGAAAAAAUGCUGGAGUUAAACUGAGUCUCCACAAGUAUUUACAUAAACAUUCCUUUCGAAGUAUUUCAUUCAUCUUGCGUGUCUGCACACACUACUAUCAUACAGUUUCUUCUCCCAAACACAAUCAAAUUAAAGAACGGUUCCAUAAGCAGUAGAAUCAAAGUUUCGAAAAGAUACGGCCAAUAACAAAGUCAGCUUUGAUUUUUAUCACCGAUUGCUGUAAUUUGUAACUGGCACAACACAAUUUUCGAAAUUGGAUUGUUUAUGAAUAAGCUAUCGUGCUUUUCGUAUAACUUAGUGUAUCUUAGCUUCCUUUGGGCUAUAAUCAUUGUCUCUGGCUUUUCAUCUUGUAGUCUUUCUCAAUCGCCGGUUCCAUUUUCUUCAAUCUUCUAUUCAAUUGGAUCCUAUUCUCAUCCGGAAUGCUUUUCUUCCGCGGAAAACAAAUUACCGAAUUUGUAAACCGUGACGAUUUUUUUUUAUUUACUCAAAUUUUUUAUAAUUGGAUAUACAAUUGUCUCGUGCAUUCAGAAUGAAUAAGUUGGAACUAAUGCAUGUCGGGGUUUUUCACAAUCAUUUAUUUGUUUUAUUUGUUAAUUUAAACUUUCUUGCAGGCAUUCACAAGUUUUUUGUAAUCCUGGUCGAUGUGCUGUCGUCGAGAGCGUUACCAUCGCUGCUAUAUACAUCAGUUUAAUUAGCAACACUUUUGAUGGCUACACUGAUUUUAUAGAUUAAAAAAAACUGUAAUAAAUCACCAAACCUUUUAAAAAUUACUUGCCCAUUCUUUCAAAAUACAAAAUACAAAAUUGACUUGAAGAGCCUAUGAUCUGAUUUUUUCAACUUGUACGACCUCUACCUUGUCAUCUUUCUUUUGAUACUUUAUACAUAAUGGCAAACAGAAUGCACAAAUGAAUGCGGAGGUUCAAUUCCUUCUUUUUCUCUCUCACACUUAACACUCAGUAUUUUAGUAAAUCAUGAAGACAAAUCUUUGAUGAAUGCCUGUUCAAACUCUUUAGUAGUGUAUAUAGUCACAGGAUCCAUUAACUCCUAUCACAAAAUGAGUCGUCGCAAAUUGGAAUAAUAAUGAUAUUGUGGUUUUUUUAGUCCAGAGACUUGAAUACAGCCUACAAUUUUGGAUUCUCUGAAGGAGAUCGUUAAUUUAUUAUGACCAAACCCAGAAUAAAACUCUCUAUGCAUUAACAAACUAGCAAAUAAAUGCUUAAUUAAACACACUUACAUAUCCGUGUAUAUGUGUUACAAUAAUCAAAGGAUGAUCAUCGACUACAAAGAUAUAAUAUAAACCUGCU